GAGUAACAGGACGUCACAGAGGGUGAGAAUCCCGUGCGGCACGGCCCCGGACUCCUUAUAAGGCGCUCUCGACGAGUCGAGUUGUUGGGAAUGCAGCUCAAAGUGGGUGGUAAAUUCCAUCUAAAGCUAAAUACAGGCGAGAGACCGAUAGCGAACAAGUACAGUGAUGGAAAGAUGAAAAGCACUUUGAAAAAGAGAGUGAAACAGCACGUGAAAUUGUUGAAAGGGAAGGGCAUGCCGUCAGAAUAGUCACG
RNAcentral lists this ribosomal RNA (254 nucleotides) under Kodamaea ohmeri. Its description in RNAcentral is "partial 26S ribosomal RNA". It matches the Rfam family "Eukaryotic large subunit ribosomal RNA", at positions 190 to 442 of the family's 3401-position model. Lineage: Eukaryota; Fungi; Ascomycota; Pichiomycetes; Serinales; Debaryomycetaceae. The record is from RNAcentral.